Molecule: ribosomal RNA, 484 nt
Filed under: uncultured bacterium
Lineage: Bacteria
Description: partial 16S ribosomal RNA
Rfam family: Bacterial small subunit ribosomal RNA
Source: RNAcentral
AUUGAACGCUGGCGGCAGGCCUAACACAUGCAAGUCGAGCGGAUGAAGGGAGCUUGCUCCUGGAUUCAGCGGCGGACGGGUGAGUAAUGCCUAGGAAUCUGCCUGGUAGUGGGGGAUAACGUCCGGAAACGGGCGCUAAUACCGCAUACUUCCUGAGGGAGAAAGUGGGGGAUCUUCGGACCUCACGCUAUCAGAUGAGCCUAGGUCGGAUUAGCUAGUUGGUGGGGUAAAGGCCUACCAAGGCGACGAUCCAUAACUGGUCUGAGAGGAUGAUCAGUCGCACUGGAACUGAGACACGGUCCAGACUCCUACGGGAGGCAGCAGUGGGGAAUAUUGGACAAUGGGCGAAAGCCUGAUCCAGCCAUGCCGCGUGUGUGAAGAAGGUCUUCGGAUUGUAAAGCACUUUAAGUUGGGAGGAAGGGCAGUAAGUUAAUACCUUGCUGUUUUGACGUUACCAACAGAAUAAGCACCGGCUAACUUCGUG